UGGUAGCUUCGUUUAUAUUCUUGUUACCUGCUGCCACAAUUGAAUGUGAUGUUUGAUAUCAUUUUUGUUGAUGAAAACUAUCUCCUCGCAGGCUUUUCCUAAUGUUGCAAAGGUUUCCAGUAGAAUCCAAAGGGAGGCGGAAGAAGCUGCAAGAGGUGAAACGUGAAUUUCAAACUAGAAAGUUGACAGAUUAAGUUUCAUAUUUACUUUACCCACUUUAUGUGUUGUUGUUUAUGCGUAUGACACAGGUUGGUUACGUGACAAGCAUAUGCUUUACGUGUUUCCUCAUCAGAUGUAUCAUGGUAAGCAUAUUAGUGAUACUAGUGGUCAAAUUUUGAAGCUACAGCUAACAAAGAGCUUUUUAUUUCAUCUUUUUUAUUAAUGGUGUAGAUGUGCUUUAAUGCGUUCGACGAUGCAGCGGAUCUUGAUGUCUUGGAUCACCCCAUCCUAAAUUUCAUAUAUUACCUGGUAAGCUAUAUACAUAGUGGAUCAUGGAUGUAAAAAUAGAAGUGUGAAAACUUGUUUUGAAAAUCUCUAACAGAAGUCGUGUUAUCUGGUUUAAUUACAGUUGGUGGAGAUAUUACCUUCUUCUCUGGUCCUCUUUAUCCUAAGAAAGCUUCCACCAAAACGCGGUAUCACACAGUACCAUCAGAUUCAGUGAAACUGAGAGUGUAUCCCAUGGAGAUGGAUGCAAACAAUUGAAACACCUGAGGUAAUACAAUAAUAGAGAGAGA
RNAcentral lists this long non-coding RNA (734 nucleotides) under Brassica napus (rape). RNAcentral's name for it is "long non-coding RNA (BNAP_LNC004847)". The record is from RNAcentral. Lineage: Eukaryota; Viridiplantae; Streptophyta; Magnoliopsida; Brassicales; Brassicaceae.